Molecule: ribosomal RNA, 445 nt
Filed under: uncultured bacterium
Lineage: Bacteria
Description: partial 16S ribosomal RNA
Rfam family: Bacterial small subunit ribosomal RNA
Source: RNAcentral
UCCAGACUCCUACGGGAGGCAGCAGUGGGGAAUAUUGGGCAAUGGGGGAAACCCUGACCCAGCGACGCCGCGUGAGGGAAGAAGGUUUUCGGAUUGUAAACCUCUGUCCUUGGUGACGAUAAUGACGGUAGCCAAGGAGGAAGCCACGGCUAACUACGUGCCAGCAGCCGCGGUAAUACGUAGGUGGCGAGCGUUGUCCGGAAUUACUGGGUGUAAAGGGAGCGUAGGCGGGAGAGCAAGUCGACUGUGAAAUCUAUGGGCUUAACCCAUAGCUGCGAUCGAAACUGUUCAUCUUGAGUGAAGUAGAGGCAGGCGGAAUUCCUGGUGUAGCGGUGAAAUGCGUAGAUAUCAGGAGGAACACCGGUGGCGAAGGCGGCCUGCUGGACUGCGACUGACGUUGAGGCCCGGAAGCGUGGGGAGCAAACAGGAUUAGAUACCCCCGUAC